Apodemus sylvaticus (European woodmouse) is the source of this 1659-nucleotide long non-coding RNA. RefSeq lists it as uncharacterized. The transcript has 3 exons. Lineage: Eukaryota; Metazoa; Chordata; Mammalia; Rodentia; Muridae. The record is from RefSeq and is a predicted model, not a curated record.
UUCAGUCUGUGACAUCCUAUGACUUGUUGACUGGAUAAUCCGGGCGAUAACCACUCUUCCUUUGUAUCGGAAUUCCACAGAACGCCCUUUGAGUCUUUGAUCGGAUGGACGUGGACACCCUCUGCAUUAAGAAUUUUUUGUUUGGUUUUGGACAUCAUGGAAGGACAUUUUCAUCUCCUGGUACUGUGCAUCCUCAGGAACUGGAAUAAAGUUGGCCAAAUGGCUCCGUGGGUAAAGGUGCUUGUCCCCAGACCACAUGACUGAAGGAGAAAACCAACUCACACGGUGUCCUCUCUCCUCUUCAUUUGAUAUGAUGGUGACGGGACAGGGUUUCUCUGUGUAGCUCUGGCUGUCCUGGAACUCACUCUGUAGACCAGACUGGCCUAGAACUCAGAAAUCUGCCUGCCUCUGCCUCCCAAGUGCUGGGACUAAAGGUGUGCACCACCACCGCCCGGCUGAAAUUCUUAUUAAAAAAAAAAAAAUAAGAAAAAGAAGUUCCUAUUGUUUUACUGCAACGCCUUCUGGGAGACAGGAAAGUUUAGCCAAAGGAUGAAAGCUGAAGAAACCACAUCACCCUACACUCGCUUUGUAGGAACCGAAGGAAAUGUUCUACAGUGCCUUAUAUCCAGGCCUCCUGGCCCUCCACCACGACGCAUGUCUACUCAAAGACAAGACAAAAGAUGGCCAUCUCUGAUACUCUAGAUUACCUCUGUGUCCAAAUCCUGUCCCCAGAGGGAGAACAGUAGAAACCAGACGAAACCAGACUCAGAACAUCAAAUCUCUUCCACUCAGUAAAGCCCCACAGCAGCUCCACCCCUCCCACCUAACCGAGGAGACCAAGCCGUGAACUUCCCGGCCUCAUAUCCUCCUGUGCCCGUCGGACUCCCUGUACAGGAAAUGCGGAGACCCUUGAGGAUAUUUAGAAUCCACAUCCCUUUCUCAAUGUUGUAACUUCAGCAACACUAAGAGAAAAUGGGAAGUUUCUUUGAGGAUCUUUCUCAAUUUACUAGGAACUUGCAGACCUGAGUUUUACCUUUUGACUUUCCAUGGGUGACCUAGUCUUCGUUCUAACUACUUGUUGUACUGCUGAAGUGAAACACAAGACAUGGAAGGAAACUUGAAAACACACACAAACUAUGCCCUUGGAAUCCUACUGGGCUGGAGUGCAGACCCUUUAAGACCAGGAAGCAGCCAAUCGGGCCAGCAUAGCAGGAAUCUGCAGAUGUAGGAUGAUGAUACAGUCUCAUCACAGGGGCACAAAUUAUAUUAAGAAAUCCGUUGGGCUGGAGUGAUGGCUCUGUGCUUAAGCAUAUUUACUGAACUUACUUGAGAGAAGGCCUUAAGGAAGUAGCUAGCUGUGGAAGGGUGUGACUAGCCUGUCACAAUGGUGCCACCAUGAGACAGGUCCAUGAAAUGUAAAAAAAAAAAAAAGUAAGGGAGGAAAUAGAAACUCCUAGUGAGGGCCAUAUGGCCGAGAACUGUGGAGGCCAGCCACAUGACUCUUUAUUCACAGCACGGACAUCAAACGCACCUUGUAAAAGGGCCCUUGUGUAGUCUGACUGGAUGCACAUAGAGAGUUGGAGCAUAAGUCUGUAAUCUUCCAUGUAUAUGAACUUACUCAGAUUUUCAGUUCAUUUCCACAGCACUGAUUACUGUACA